AGAACGAACGCUGGCGGCAUGCCUAACACAUGCAAGUCGAACGAGACCUUCGGGUCUAGUGGCGCACGGGUGCGUAACGCGUGGGAAUCUGCCCUUAGGUACGGAAUAGCCCGGGGGAAACCUGGAAUAAUACCGUAUAAUGACUUCGGUCCAAAGAUUUAUCGCCUAAGGAUGAGCCCGCGUAGGAUUAGCUUGUUGGUGAGGUAAAAGCUCACCAAGGCGACGAUCCUUAGCUGGUCUGAGAGGAUGAUCAGCCACACUGGGACUGAGACACGGCCCAGACUCCUACGGGAGGCAGCAGUGGGGAAUCUUGGACAAUGGGGGCAACCCUGAUCCAGCCAUGCCGCGUGAUCGAUGAAGGCCUUAGGGUUGUAAAGAUCUUUCAGCGGGGAAGAUAAUGACGGUACCCGCAGAAGAACGCCCGGCUAACUCCGUGCCAGCAGCCGC
This 447-nucleotide ribosomal RNA is filed under the name uncultured bacterium. Its description in RNAcentral is "SSU rRNA". It matches the Rfam family "Bacterial small subunit ribosomal RNA", at positions 26 to 518 of the family's 1533-position model. The record is from RNAcentral.